RNAcentral lists this ribosomal RNA (267 nucleotides) under uncultured bacterium. RNAcentral describes it as "partial 16S ribosomal RNA". It matches the Rfam family "Bacterial small subunit ribosomal RNA", at positions 86 to 354 of the family's 1533-position model. The record is from RNAcentral.
CGCCGGCGACCGGCGCACGGGUGAGUAACACGUAUGCAACCUGCCCUCUUCAGGGGGACAACCUUCCGAAAGGGAGGCUAAUCCCGCGUAUAUCGGUUUCGGGCAUCCGAGAUCGAGGAAAGAUUCAUCGGAAGAGGAUGGGCAUGCGGCGCAUUAGCUAGACGGCGGGGUAACGGCCCACCGUGGCGACGAUGCGUAGGGGUUCUGAGAGGAAGGUCCCCCACACUGGUACUGAGACACGGACCAGACUCCUACGGGAGGCAGCAG